Molecule: ribosomal RNA, 482 nt
Filed under: uncultured bacterium
Lineage: Bacteria
Description: bacterial SSU rRNA
Rfam family: Bacterial small subunit ribosomal RNA
Source: RNAcentral
GAUGAACGCUAGCGGCAGGCCUAACACAUGCAAGUCGAGGGGUAGAAGGCUUCGGCCUUUGAGACCGGCGCACGGGUGCGUAACGCGUAUGCAAUCUGCCUUGCACUAAGGGAUAGCCCGGAGAAAUCCGGAUUAAUACCUUAUAGUAUAUUGAUGUGGCAUCACAUUAUUAUUAAAGAUUUAUCGGUGUAAGAUGAGCAUGCGUCCCAUUAGCUAGUUGGUAUGGUAACGGCAUACCAAGGCAAUGAUGGGUAGGGGUCCUGAGAGGGAGAUCCCCCACACUGGUACUGAGACACGGACCAGACUCCUACGGGAGGCAGCAGUGAGGAAUAUUGGUCAAUGGGCGCAAGCCUGAACCAGCCGUGCCGCGUGCAGGAUGACUGCCCUAUGGGUUGUAAACUGCUUUUGUACGGGAAGAAACACUCCUACGUGUAGGAGCUUGACGGUACCGUAAGAAUAGGAUCGGCUAACUCCGUGCCAGC